GGAGAGAUGGCCGAGAGGCUGAAGGCGCUCCCCUGCUAAGGGAGUAUAGGGCUUAAAACUCUAUCGAGGGUUCGAAUCCCUCUCUCUCCGCCA
Molecule: transfer RNA, 93 nt
Filed under: Methylococcus sp.
Lineage: Bacteria; Pseudomonadati; Pseudomonadota; Gammaproteobacteria; Methylococcales; Methylococcaceae
Also listed under: 2 other names
Description: tRNA-Ser
Rfam family: tRNA
About the family: Transfer RNA (tRNA) molecules are approximately 80 nucleotides in length.
Source: RNAcentral